This 72-nucleotide transfer RNA is filed under the name Nyctereutes procyonoides (raccoon dog). Its description in RNAcentral is "tRNA-Asn". Lineage: Eukaryota; Metazoa; Chordata; Mammalia; Carnivora; Canidae. The record is from RNAcentral.
CUAGAUUGGUGGGCUUCCAUCCCACGAAAUUUUAGUUAACAGCUAAAUACCCUAAGAACUGGCUUCAAUCUA